RNAcentral lists this ribosomal RNA (243 nucleotides) under uncultured Actinomycetales bacterium. Its description in RNAcentral is "partial 16S ribosomal RNA". It matches the Rfam family "Bacterial small subunit ribosomal RNA", at positions 88 to 334 of the family's 1533-position model. The record is from RNAcentral. Lineage: Bacteria; Bacillati; Actinomycetota; Actinomycetes; Actinomycetales.
UACUCGAGUGGCGAACGGGUGAGUAACACGUGGGUGAUCUGCCCUGCACUUCGGGAUAAGCCUGGGAAACUGGGUCUAAUACCGGAUAGGAGCCAUUUCUAGUGUGAUGGUUGGAAAGUUUUUUCGGUGUAGGAUGAGCUCGCGGCCUAUCAGCUUGUUGGUGGGGUAAUGGCCUACCAAGGCGGCGACGGGUAGCCGGCCUGAGAGGGUGGACGGCCACAUUGGGACUGAGAUACGGCCCAG